CCUACGGGUGGCAGCAGUGAGGAAUAUUGGUCAAUGGGCGCGAGCCUGAACCAGCCAAGUAGCGUGAAGGAUGACUGCCCUAUGGGUUGUAAACUUCUUUUAUAAAGGAAUAAAGUGAGGCACGUGUGCCUGGUUGGAUGUACUUUAUGAAUAAGGCUCGGCCAACUCCGUGCCAGCAGCCGCGGUAAUACGGAGGAUCCGAGCGUUAUCCGGAUUUAUUGGGUUUAAAGGGAGCGUAGAUGGGUUGUUAAGUCAGUUGUGAAAGUUUGCGGCUCAACCGUAAAAUUGCAAUUGAUACUGGCAGUCUUGAGUACAGUAGAGGUAGGCGGAAUUCGUGGUGUAGCGGUGAAAUGCAUAGAUAUCACGAAGAACUCCGAUUGCGAAGGCAGCUUACUAGACUGCAACUGACGUUGAUGCUCGAAAGUGUGGGUAUCAAACAGGAUUAGAUACCCGUGUAGUC
RNAcentral lists this ribosomal RNA (460 nucleotides) under uncultured bacterium. Its description in RNAcentral is "partial 16S ribosomal RNA". It matches the Rfam family "Bacterial small subunit ribosomal RNA", at positions 338 to 795 of the family's 1533-position model. The record is from RNAcentral.